UACGUGAGGGGCAAACGUUGUUCGGUGUCACUGGGCUUAAAGGGCGCGUAGGCGGUCGUGCAAGUAAGGUGUGAAAUCCCCUGGCUUACCCAGGGAAGGGCGCCUUAAACUGCACGGCUUGAGUGUCAGAGAGGUGGGAGGAACUCCAGGUGUAGCGGUGAAAUGCGUAGAUAUCUGGGGGAAGGCCGGCGGCGAAGGCGUCCCACUGGCUGACUACUGACGCUGAGGCGCGAAAGCGUGGGGAGCAAACAGG
RNAcentral lists this ribosomal RNA (253 nucleotides) under uncultured bacterium. Its description in RNAcentral is "partial 16S ribosomal RNA". It matches the Rfam family "Bacterial small subunit ribosomal RNA", at positions 524 to 776 of the family's 1533-position model. The record is from RNAcentral.